RNAcentral lists this transfer RNA (77 nucleotides) under Slackia piriformis. RNAcentral's name for it is "tRNA-His". It matches the Rfam family "tRNA". Rfam says of the family: Transfer RNA (tRNA) molecules are approximately 80 nucleotides in length. Their secondary structure includes four short double-helical elements and three loops (D, anti-codon, and T loops). Lineage: Bacteria; Bacillati; Actinomycetota; Coriobacteriia; Eggerthellales; Eggerthellaceae. The record is from RNAcentral. RNAcentral also lists the same sequence under 2 other names.
GUGGGUAUGGCCUAGUUGGUUAGGGCGCCAGAUUGUGGCUCUGGAGGUCGUCGGUUCGAGUCCGAUUACCCACCCCA